UAGGGAAUCUUCCACAAUGGACGCAAGUCUGAUGGAGCAACGCCGCGUGAGUGAAGAAGGUUUUCGGAUCGUAAAGCUCUGUUGUUGGUGAAGAAGGAUAGAGGCAGUAACUGGUCUUUAUUUGACGGUAAUCAACCAGAAAGUCACGGCUAACUACGUGCCAGCAGCCGCGGUAAUACGUAGGUGGCAAGCGUUGUCCGGAUUUAUUGGGCGUAAAGCGAGCGCAGGCGGAAUGAUAAGUCUGAUGUGAAAGCCCACGGCUCAACCGUGGAACCGCAUCGGAAACUGUCAUUCUUGAGUGCAGAAGAGGAGAGUGGAACUCCAUGUGUAGCGGUGGAAUGCGUAGAUAUAUGGAAGAACACCAGUGGCGAAGGCGGCUCUCUGGUCUGCAACUGACGCUGAGGCUCGAAAGCAUGGGUAGCGAACAGGAUUAGAUACCCUGGUAGUCCAUGCCGUAAACGAUGAGCGCUAGGUGUUGGGGACUUUCCGAUUCUCAGUGCCGCAGCAAACGCAUUAAGCGCUCCGCCUGGGGAGUACGACCGCAAGGUUGAAAC
RNAcentral lists this ribosomal RNA (554 nucleotides) under uncultured bacterium. RNAcentral describes it as "partial 16S ribosomal RNA". It matches the Rfam family "Bacterial small subunit ribosomal RNA", at positions 355 to 900 of the family's 1533-position model. The record is from RNAcentral.